RNAcentral lists this ribosomal RNA (497 nucleotides) under uncultured bacterium. RNAcentral describes it as "partial 16S ribosomal RNA". It matches the Rfam family "Bacterial small subunit ribosomal RNA", at positions 28 to 507 of the family's 1533-position model. The record is from RNAcentral.
GACGAACGCUGGCGGCGUGCCUAAUACAUGCAAGUAGAACGCUGAAGAGGGGAGCUUGCUCUUCUUGGAUGAGUUGCGAACGGGUGAGUAACGCGUAGGUAACCUGCCUUGUAGCGGGGGAUAACUAUUGGAAACGAUAGCUAAUACCGCAUAACAAUGGAUGACACAUGUCAUUUAUUUGAAAGGGGCAAUUGCUCCACUACAAGAUGGACCUGCGUUGUAUUAGCCAGUAGGUGAGGUAACGGCUCACCUAGGCGACGAUACAUAGCCGACCUGAGAGGGUGAUCGGCCACACUGGGACUGAGACACGGCCCAGACUCCUACGGGAGGCAGCAGUAGGGAAUCUUCGGCAAUGGGGGCAACCCUGACCGAGCAACGCCGCGUGAGUGAAGAAGGUUUUCGGAUCGUAAAGCUCUGUUGUAAGUCAAGAACGAGUGUGAGAGUGGAAAGUUCACACUGUGACGGUAGCUUACCAGAAAGGGACGGCUAACUACGUG